UUUAAAGUCUAACCUGCCCAAUGAGGAGUUGAAUGGCCGCGGUAAUUUGACCGUGCAAAGGUAGCAUAAUCAUUAGUUUUUUAAUUGAAAGCUGGAAUGAACGGUUGGACGAGAAAAUAACUGUCUCAAUUUAAUUGAAUGUAGAAUUUUAUUUAUAAGUAAAAAAGCUUAUAUGAGCUUAAAAGACGAGAAGACCCUAUAGAGUUUUAUAGUUUAUUAUAUUAAUUAGUUUUAGUAUAUUUAUAUUUUUAAUAUAGUAACUUAUUUUGCUGGGGCAGCAGAAAAAUUGAUUAAACUUUUUUUUAUCAUUUACAUUAAUUUAUGAUUUAGUGAUCCAUUAUUUAUGAUUAUAAGAUUAAAUUACCUUAGGGAUAACAGCGUAAUUUUUUUUUAGAGUUCUUAUCGAAAAAAGAGUUUGCGACCUCGAUGUUGGAUUAAAAUUAACUUUUGGUGCAGGAGCUAAAAGGUUAGGUCUGUUCGACCUUUAAAAUUUUACAUGAUCUGAGUUUAAACCGGCGUGAGCCAGGUUGGUUUCUAUCUUUAAAUAAAUUAAAUAUCUUAGUACGAAAGGAUUAGGUAUUUUUAAAAUUUAAUAUAAUUUGAAUAUGAUUAUUA
This 615-nucleotide ribosomal RNA is filed under the name Exomala pallidipennis. RNAcentral's name for it is "partial 16S ribosomal RNA". It matches the Rfam family "Bacterial large subunit ribosomal RNA", at positions 1844 to 2770 of the family's 2925-position model. Lineage: Eukaryota; Metazoa; Arthropoda; Insecta; Coleoptera; Scarabaeidae. The record is from RNAcentral.